UUUUUAUUUAGUAUAUUAAAGAAUUUUUUUUAUUGUUAUAGUAUAUUAGUACUGUUAAGGAAUUGAUGAAAUAUAUUAAAUAAUUUAUUUAUAGAAGUAUAUUUUAUUUAUAGUACCUUUUGUAUCAGGGUUAAUCAAUUAAUUUAAUUUAUAUUUAGAUCUCGAUUUCAAAAGAGCUAAAUUAAUAUUUUAGUUAAUGUAAAAUAAUUAUUAAUGAUAUUAAUUUAGAGGAGAAAUUUUAUUCGUUUUUGAAGGUAUCUAGUUUUUUAAGAAUUAAAUUUAAUUUAUAUUUAUUUAUUAAUUAGUAUAUUGUUAUAUUAAUUAUAAAGUAAAAUAAAGAUUAUAGGGGAUAAGCUCUAUAAUUAUCUAUAAAAAUUUUUAUUAAUUAAAUUUUGUAGGGUUAAAAAUAUCCAUCAUUAAUAAGUUUGUUAUAAUAUAUUUUAUUUAUUAAUUGAUUUUUUAUUAUUUUUAGUAUAAUAUUAAAAUAUUAGAAUAAAUUUAUGAUUCUAGGUAAUAAUGAUUAAAUUAGUAUAAAAUUUUGUUUAUUAUAUAAUUAUGUUUAUAAUAAGUUAAGGAACUCGGCAAUUAUAGUUCUCGCCUGUUUAUCAAAAACAUGUCCUUUUGAAAUUUAUUGAAGGUCUGACCUGCCCAGUGAAUAAUUUAACGGCCGCGGUAUAUUGACCGUGCAAAGGUAGCAUAAUCAUUAGUCUUUUAAUAGAGGGCUGGAAUGAAGGGUUUAACGAGGAACUAACUGUCUCAACUUAUAUGUUUUAAAAUUUAAUUUUUUAGUUAAAAAGCUAAAAUAUUAUUGGAAGACGAGAAGACCCUAUAGAGCUUUACAUAUAUUUAUUUAACUAUUUUUAUAUCAAUAUUGUUAUAUUAGUUUGUGUUAUGUUGGGGUGACAAAAAUAUAUAAUUAACUUUUUUAUUUAAAGACCAUUAAUUUAUGAAUAUUAGAUCCAUUAUUAUUGAUUAUUAGAUUAAGUUACCUUAGGGAUAACAGCGUAAUCCUCCUCCAGAGUUCAUAUUUACGGGAUGGGGCUUGCGACCUCGAUGUUGGAUUAAGAUAAUUAUUAGGUGUAGCCGCUUAAUGUAUAGGUCUGUUCGACCUUUAAAUUCUUACAU
Molecule: ribosomal RNA, 1125 nt
Filed under: Neodythemis africana
Lineage: Eukaryota; Metazoa; Arthropoda; Insecta; Odonata; Libellulidae
Description: partial 16S ribosomal RNA
Source: RNAcentral